Molecule: ribosomal RNA, 312 nt
Filed under: Triticum aestivum (bread wheat)
Lineage: Eukaryota; Viridiplantae; Streptophyta; Magnoliopsida; Poales; Poaceae
Description: partial small subunit ribosomal RNA
Source: RNAcentral
AUGGUACUAAGCACCAACAGAGUAGUAAUAAUUCAUAUCAAUCAGGGUGGAAGGAAGCGAGGAAUUGAUUUCUUGCGAUGCUCUCGCCGUCAAAUUCAGAAGUACUCGUAUCAAUUCAGGCAAAUCAAUCAACUAGUAGGAGUAAUAAUUAGUAUCAAGGUUGCUGCUCAAGGAAAUCGGCAAGCACCAACGGCAGCAACGAUAGGAACAAGGUGCAGGAGAGGAAGAUCCACCAGCCUGUCGGGACGACGCGGCGGUCAACCACGACGAGAGGAACAGGAACAGCGGCAACCUCGUCGCGCUCUCGGAUGA